This 2591-nucleotide long non-coding RNA is filed under the name Hordeum vulgare. Its description in RNAcentral is "long non-coding RNA (HVUL_LNC008842)". The record is from RNAcentral. Lineage: Eukaryota; Viridiplantae; Streptophyta; Magnoliopsida; Poales; Poaceae.
UGAUGUCGGUUUCAAGACAGGUUGGUCUUUUUUUAGGGGAAACCUGAACUUGCAUGAUAAUAUAUGAUACAACAGUAGUGUCAUUCGGCUGGAGCAACCAAUUAUAUCGACCAUGAGCUAAAGAUAAAACACUUUUUACAAAAAUUGUGAGCCUUCAUAUUGGACGUUCUGCCUUCAUGAAUGAUCCGGGCCUCCUUGAACUCUUGACGCCGGAUGUUGAUCUCUGUAGAUGCCCUUGCUUCCUCCAUUGCCUCUGCUUAACAAGCAUUUUUACAUCACCUGAAAUAUUGAACCAUUGAAGAUUCAGAACACCUGCAAGCCAUAGCGUCACUACACAUGCCAUUGCUUCAAGCAUUUGAGGGUCAUCACAAUUAUCAAUGUUGGCGAGUCAAGGUAAAUUCUCUGAGUUCCUAUUAUGAGAACCGCGCGUCGGCUUUCUGUCAGGCGCCCUUAUGUGCCGACCCAUGUGAGGCGCGAGGCACCCCCUAUUUUUCUUUUUUUUUGAGAUUUCGUAAAAGGUUCUGACAUUAAAAAAAACACGGAUUCAAAAAAUGUUCAACAAAUUCAAAAAAUGACCGUGAUUUCAAAAUAAUGAUUAUUUUUAUUUGAUGAACAAAUUUUGAAGUUGAUGAACUUUUUUUGAAGUUGAUGAUCAAUUUUUUUAUUCAAGAACAUUUUUUUUGGAAAAAAUUGUUGAAUUGUUUUUAUUUAAAUGAACAAUUUUAAUUUGACGAAUAUUUUCAAAAAACGAUGAACAACUUUCAAAUUUGAUGAACAUUUUCUCAAUUUGAUGAACGUUGUUUAAACCAAUGAACAGAAUUAAAUUUGAUGAUUUUUUUAAUCCAAUGAACAGAAAAAGUUUUUGAAUUUGAAAAUAAAUUUGCAAAAAAUGAAAAAGUAAAGAAGUAAAAAAGAGAAAAGGAAAAGGAAAACAGAGAAGAAAAAGGAAAGAAAAAUAAGAAAACAUGAAGAAAACACCCCUGAAAAAUGGGCCGGCCCAUACAAACACCCGAGCACAGGUUGCUCGCGGGUGACCUGCGCACGGAACAUGAUUUCCUGUAAAUUUUGAAAUCAUUAAUUAAGGAGUACUCCUUUAAAAGUCUUUUUCAUCUUUUCAAGUUAUGACAAGUGGCAUAUUGCAUGUGUGUCACUUGUCGCAACCUGUGAAUUUUCCUUUUUUUAGAUCCAUUAUUUCAAAACAUUUUAUUUCUUAAACCGUGCAUCCAAAUCUCGAAUCAUUUUCACCGUUGGAUUUCUCAUGUCGAGAUUUUUAAAACAAGAUUCCAUGUUGAUAGAUUUUGACAAACUUUUUUUUGACAAAAAAACUGAACGAGAAAACCGUGCCUCUUCAAAAAAGACACAUUUUUUUUGUUUUUCGUGCCUUUCGCGAAAGCAAAACCUUGCCUUUCGAGGACAAAAAAACGUGUUUUUUCACUUUCGAGAGGCGCGGCUUGCGGAGCAAAUCCGUGCCUCUUGAGGAAGCAAACCAUGCCCUCGAGGAAGGAAAAAACAAAGAAAACACGUUUCCCCUCAUUUUCAAGAGGCACGGCGGUGCCCCUCGCAAAAGCAAAUUCAUGCAUCUCAAGGAAGGAAAAACAAGAAAACAUGUUUUUUCAAGAGGCAAGGAUGUGCCUCUGUAGGAAGGAAAAGAGCGCGUAUUUUUGUGCAUUUUUUUCACGCAAAAUCUAAGAAAGAUUGGUGGAAAAUCGAAACACCGAAAAACCCUAGAAAAAAUACCAUCCAAAAAGCGAAAACGGGUGAAAAUAAAAUAAAAUUUCAUAGAAACGUUCAAAACACAAUACAUGACGACGGCUGAGAACUUGUCAAAUAACGACGCCCGUGAAUAAUCGUUGGUAGGCUUCCGAUGAAGCGCUUCUCACAUAGUCCCUCCUCGUACUUUCCGUGGGCAUCUUGGCACAGAGGAUUGAUCGAACUGAUCGAAUACAUGGAAAUGAUAUAUAUACUGGCCUAAGAAUAUCUCCAACCGUGUCCCCUACAUGCCCCUCCCAGACCAUUUUGUGUUGCCGGCGGGGAAAAAUACCCCAAUCGCGCCCCUAGGAGCCCGUUUUUCGUCGGUUAGGACCGAAAUUGGCCCCGACGGCCCGAGACCGAACCCAGCAUGCAGGAGGGCGUCCGGGAGCGUCGGCGUUGUUAUUUGCAUGCAACAGGCCCACUCUGAGCCUCCCACUCGCUCUCUCGUGUCUCUCUUGCAUGCAACAGGUCCACCCACGUGCAUGUCUCUCGCCCACUUCAUCUCUUUUUCUCUCAUCUUUCUUGUCUUCUAGUGUUGGAUAGAGGUAUGGCUGAAAAACUCCCCCCAUGGCUGAAAAAGUGGCUCUUGGGGGGCCAACCGAGUGGAGAUACUCUAAAAGAAUAGCAAAGCCGAGCAAGCCAUGUGGCUCAAUUAAACACACAUGAUAUACUAUUGUUUAGUCUGAAACACGAUCCUAAAAAGAGAAGGCAUCGGCAUGCAGCCCACCCUUGCUGUCGAACAGCAACAUCAGCCCCACCCCCACGCGUCAUAUUUGGUUGGCCAUCCCGCAUGAUCUGUAUGUAAUACCAUUUCAUGUGAAUUUUGAUUAAUAGAGCUU